CCUACGGGGUGCUGCAGUGGGGAAUAUUGGACAAUGGGCGAAAGCCUGAUCCAGCCAUGCCGCGUGUGUGAAGAAGGCCUUCGGGUUGUAAAGCACUUUCAGUGGGGAAGAAAGCCUUGGGGCUAAUACCCUCGAGGAAGGACAUCACCCACAGAAGAAGCACCGGCUCAACUCCGUGCCAGCAGCCGCGGUAAUACGGAGGGUGCGAGCGUUAAUCGGAAUUACUGGGCGUAAAGCGCGCGUAGGCGGUCUGAUAAGCCGGUUGGGAAAGCCCCGGGCUCAACCUGGGAACGGCAUCCGGAACUGUCAGGCUAGAGUGCAGGAGAGGAAAGUCGAAUUCCCGGUGUAGCGGUGAAAUGCGUAGAGAUCGGGAGGAAUACCAGUGGCGAAGGCGGUCUUCUGGACUGACACUGACGCUGAGGUGCGAAAGCGUGGGUAGCAAACAGGAUUAGAUACCCUGGUAGUC
This 466-nucleotide ribosomal RNA is filed under the name Vreelandella stevensii. RNAcentral describes it as "partial 16S ribosomal RNA". It matches the Rfam family "Bacterial small subunit ribosomal RNA", at positions 338 to 795 of the family's 1533-position model. The record is from RNAcentral. Lineage: Bacteria; Pseudomonadati; Pseudomonadota; Gammaproteobacteria; Oceanospirillales; Halomonadaceae.